GAUUUCUGACAUUAAUGCGCUUGGCCCGCUACGGUUACGUAUGUGAGUGCCGAGUCGUGUUUGUCAUCCUUCUAGAAAAUGUUAGUUUGCUCUUCAUUGAGUGUAAUUAACACGAUCUAGAUCUUUUACUUUGAAAAAAUUAGAGUGUUUAAAGCAGGCGUUUGCUAUGAAUACAUUAGCAUGGAAUAAUAAUUUAGGACUUUGGUUCUAUUUUGUUGGUUUCUAGAACUGAAGUAAUGAUUGAUAGGGAUGGUUGGGGGUGCUCGUAUUCAGUGGCCAGAGGUGAAAUUCUCGGAUUCACUGAAGACGAACUUAUGCGAAAGCAUU
RNAcentral lists this ribosomal RNA (327 nucleotides) under uncultured Sandonidae. RNAcentral's name for it is "SSU rRNA". The stretch from base 111 to 327 matches the Rfam family "Eukaryotic small subunit ribosomal RNA", at positions 737 to 955 of the family's 1831-position model. The record is from RNAcentral. Lineage: Eukaryota; Cercozoa; Glissomonadida; Viridiraptoridae.